UGCGUUCGUCGCAGCGAGCCGGCUCGUGGCCCAGUUCUGUCGUAUCUAAGCCGCGUUGCGCCACGCCGAUACGCCGUUGCAUAAUCGGCUGAACUAUUUCGAUAUGCCGUAUUGUAUUGUUAACUACGUACGAGGUGGAGAAUAUUAACUCGUGACAGAGAUGAGUGGAGGAAACAAAAGGUGACCUUUGCCGAAGCAGAACCUGACCAAUAAACUGGUUGCUGAAGAAUAUGUAGGCACAUUGUGAAUUGUUUCUAUACAAAUUAGAUUUAAAUAUAAUAUAUCUAGAUUAAAACUGCUAUAUUUGGCCAAUGAA
Molecule: long non-coding RNA, 316 nt
Organism: Manduca sexta (tobacco hornworm)
Lineage: Eukaryota; Metazoa; Arthropoda; Insecta; Lepidoptera; Sphingidae
Exons: 2
Source: RefSeq, a predicted model, not a curated record